Neogale vison (American mink) is the source of this 743-nucleotide long non-coding RNA. RefSeq lists it as uncharacterized. The transcript is spliced from 3 exons. NCBI's taxonomy places the organism in Eukaryota, Metazoa, Chordata, Mammalia, Carnivora, Mustelidae. The record is from RefSeq and is a predicted model, not a curated record.
GCUCCCCUGCCCAGGGCCGCUGCUUCUAAUUUCAGCUGCUGGAGGCUCUGCUCACUCUUUUUUUUUUUUAUUCCGUGUUUAUUUAAAGCCGGAUUUUAAAAUGUUGUCUUCAGCCCUGAAAUCUUUUUCUUCUCACUGCAGGUCUGAAAGCCCCGGGGGAGCGCGGAGGCCCACUUGGCCUGGGCUGCGGCUGCGGGUGGCCUCCGGGGGUGCGGGGCAGCCCCACUGUCCCGCAUAGUCAUGGACGUCUGCCGAGACUGGCCUGCACGUCCCUGGUUACCCCUGCGGGCUCCGUGUCGUCUCCGUCUGGGGGGCUCCUCCUGCAGGGGCCUCUCUUGGGCCAGGGAAGACACAGACAUCUGUAGAGAAGCUCCUGGAGACUCGGCUGUCGCCUGGAUGUCCAUGUGAAAAGAACACUCCCUCCGUAGGGAAAAACCACUUAAACAGCUCGGGGGUGACAUUUAACCCUCAGGCCGACCAUGUGGCCUUGCAGAGUGUUGCUCUGUGGGGACAGAAGUGAGGCCCCAGGGGAGGUCUGACAGCUCAGCUCCUAAUUCACACCCAGAUUCGGGGACUCUCUCCACGCCCCAGGCACCCACAGUCCUUUGUGUGGCCUUGGGCAGGUGUGCUGGGCUCAGCUGUCAUUUUCCCACAUUCUUUGGCUCGCAGAUUUCCCUCUGGGAACGUUAGUGACCCUGUUUCUGCUUCUGGAGAGACACACAGCGAGAGACGGAACACAAGCA